AGAACAACCAUCUUUUUGGCCAUGUUACACAUACCGUUUUGUUCACCAUCAGCAAGAAAGAUUCAACUAGAUGGUAAACAACGAUAAGAAAUUUUCAGGAAAGUUCUCAACAAGGCAGAACUAACCGAAAUCGUCCCAUCCUAUUGGAAUUACAUUACAGACUUUAAUGAACAAAACAUCGAAGAAGAGUACCAGGACAUGGAAAAAGAAACUGAAAUAGAGGAAAUAAACGAGGAGAAAGCAGACGAGUUCAAACAA
Xenia sp. Carnegie-2017 is the source of this 258-nucleotide long non-coding RNA. RefSeq lists it as uncharacterized. The transcript is spliced from 3 exons. The record is from RefSeq and is a predicted model, not a curated record. NCBI's taxonomy places the organism in Eukaryota, Metazoa, Cnidaria, Anthozoa, Malacalcyonacea, Xeniidae.